Molecule: ribosomal RNA, 1960 nt
Filed under: human gut metagenome
Description: bacterial LSU rRNA
Rfam family: Bacterial large subunit ribosomal RNA
Source: RNAcentral
GAAAGUAAGCAAGGGCAGACGGUGGAUGCCUUGGCUCUCGGAGGCGACGAAGGACGUGAUAAGCUGCGAAAAGCCCGGGGGAGGCGCAAAUAGCCGUUGAUCCCGGGAUAUCCGAAUGGGGCAACCCGGCAGGCUGAAGGCCUGCCAUCCCGUAAGGGAGGCGAACGUGGGGAACUGAAACAUCUAAGUACCCAUAGGAGGAGAAAAUAAACAAUGAUUCCGUAAGUAGUGGCGAGCGAACACGGAAGAGCCCAAACCCAUGUCGUCUAGGCGACACGGGGGUUGUAGGACCACGACGUGGCAAGAUAGAGUCAAGUGGAACGCCUUGGAAAAGGCGGUCAUAGAGGGUGAAAACCCCGUACACGACUGACGAUUGAAGCCUAGUGGCAUCCUGAGUAGCGCGGGGCACGAGAAAUCUUGCGUGAAUUAGCGGGGCCCAUCCCGUAAGGCUAAAUACUCCCGAGAGACCGAUAGCGAACCAGUACCGUGAGGGAAAGGUGAAAAGAACCCCGAGCAGGGGAGUGAAAUAGACCCUGAACCCGUCUGCCUACAAGCGGUCGGAGCGUCGUAAUGACGUGACGGCGUGCCUUUUGCAUAAUGAACCUACGAGUUACCUUCCCCGGCAAGGUUAAGUACCUAAGGUACGGAGCCGAAGCGAAAGCGAGUCUGAACAGGGCGCCAAGUCGGGGGGGGUAGACGCGAAACCGAGUGAUCUACCCUUGGCCAGGUUGAAGGUUGGGUAACACCAACUGGAGGACCGGAUGGGUAAGCGUUGAAAAGCUUUCCAAUGAGCUGAGGGUAGGGGUGAAAGGCUAAUCAAACUCGGAGAUAGCUCGUACUCCCCGAAAUGCAUUUAGGUGCAGCCUCUUUAUAGUAUAUCGUGAGGUAGAGCGACUGAUUGGAUGCGAGGGCUUCACCGCCUAUCAAGUCCAGAUAAACUCCGAAUGCGCGAUAUAUAUUUACAGGGAGUGAGGGCGCGGGUGCUAAGGUCCGUGUCCGAGAGGAGAAGAAUCCAGACCACCGGCUAAGGCCCCCAAAUGAUCGUUGAGUUGAACUAACGAGGUCGGAUCGCAGAGACAGCUAGGAUGUUGGCUUGGAAGCAGCCAUUCAUUUAAAGAGUGCGUAACAGCUCACUAGUCGAGCGAUCUGGCGUGGAUAAUAAUCGGGCAUAAACGAUCUGCCGAAGCCGUGGAUGUCGUAAGACAUGGUAGGGGAGCAUUCCAUGCGGCGUCGAAGAUGAGGGAUGACCCUUGUUGGAGCGCAUGGAAAAGCAAAUGUAGGUAUGAGUAACGAUAAGGGGGGCGAGAAACCCCCCCGCCGAAAGACCAAGGUUUCCUGAUCAACGCUAAUCGGAUCAGGGUGAGUCGGGACCUAAGGCAAAGCCGAACGGCGCCGCCGAUGGAAGAAUGGGUUAAUAUUCCCAUACUGCCUCAUGGAGUGACGUGGAGACGGAGAAGUGACAGUCCUGCCGGCUGACGGAAUAGCCGGUUGAAGGGUGUAGGUGUCGAUCGCGGUAGGCAAAUCCGCCGCGAGAGCCGAACCUGACAGUAUACGGAGCGCUUGCGCAACGUAAUAUGGACGUAACCAUGCUCCCAAGAAAAUCCGCUAAACUUAUCCAUGCGGCACCCGUACCGUAAACGGACACACGUGGUCGGGUUGAGAAUACUGAGGCGCUCGAGUGACUCACGGUUAAGGAACUAGGCAAAUUGACCCUGUAACUUCGGGAUAAAGGGUCCUCGUCGUAAGGCGAGGCGCAGAGAAUAGGUCCAGGCAACUGUUUAACAAAAACACAUGGCUGUGCUAAAUGGAAACAUGACGUAUACAGCCUGACACCUGCCCGGUGCUGGAAGGUUAAGAGGAGAUGUCAUCGCAAGAGAAGCGUUGAAUUGAAGCCCCAGUAAACGGCGGCCGUAACUAUAACGGUCCUAAGGUAGCGAAAUUCCUUGUCGGGUAAGUUCCG